CCUACGGGAGGCAGCAGUGAGGAAUAUUGGUCAAUGCACGAAAGUCUGACCCAGCCACGUAGCGUGAAUGAUGACUGCCCUCUGGUUUGUAAGCUUCUUUUAUAUGGGAAUAAAAUGUUCUACGUGACUGUUUUUGUAUUUACCAUAUCAAUAAAGACCGCCUAACUCCGUUCCAGCAGCCGCGGUGAUACGGGGGGUCCGGGUGUGAUCCGGUUUUAUUGGGGUUAAAGGGAGCGUGGGUGGAUUGUUAAGUCAGUUCUUAAAGUUUGAGGGUAAACCGUAAAAGUGCAGUUGAAACUGUCAGUCAUGAGUACAGUAGAGGUGGGAGGAAUUCGGGGUGUAGCGGGGAAAGGCUUAGAUAUAACGAAGAACUCCGAAUGCGAAGGCAGAUCACUGGACGGCAACUGACACUGAGGGUCGAAAGUGUGGGUAUAAAACAGGAUUAGAUACCCGGUAGUC
This 459-nucleotide ribosomal RNA is filed under the name uncultured bacterium. RNAcentral describes it as "partial 16S ribosomal RNA". It matches the Rfam family "Bacterial small subunit ribosomal RNA", at positions 338 to 795 of the family's 1533-position model. The record is from RNAcentral.